Molecule: long non-coding RNA, 1743 nt
Filed under: Rattus norvegicus (Norway rat)
Lineage: Eukaryota; Metazoa; Chordata; Mammalia; Rodentia; Muridae
Description: zinc finger and BTB domain containing 11 opposite strand (Zbtb11os)
Source: RNAcentral
GGGCGAGGGUCCGCCCCCAGCCUCCCGGGCCUCCUUCCUGUAGGGAAGUGCGGCUGCUUUCACGUCCCCCACCCGCUCGGCUCGGUCCCGCGGCCGCCGCGCAGCCGAACGCCACCUGGCUAGGGCACAGCGGUCCCAGACUUCAGGCUCGCGAGUGCGCACGCAGGCCUCUCCUCGGACCAUGCCCCGCAAAACCUGCCGCCCAGGUGCCCCCUCGCCCGGGGCCAGCGCUCACCUCGCCACCAGUACGUCUUGGACAGGUCAUGCCAGGUCUGAUGCCGAGUGUGGUGAGUGCCUCCAGGGCCCAGGUGUGCCGCCUCUAUGAGGCCCUGGCGCCGCUCCGGCUGCAGCACUACUUCCAACUCCGCAAACGUCUUGCGGUGCCGCUGCCGCCGCUGGUAGUAGAGAGUCCCGCCGCGCACUACGUAGCAGGCGGCAGCCUUGCGGAUUUUACGCUUGACAUUGCCUUCAGUGCCCGGUGCAUAAGGCUCACGUUCGUUCGUCAAAUAGCGCAGGAUGGCCCGAUAGCUUUCCUCGCUUGACAUCGCUGGUGGCAGCGCCCUUAGGGCGCCUGUCAGUGGUAGGAAAAGGCAGACAGCGCUCUGGAUCAGUAAAGGUGCAACAGUGGCGGCAACACUUUAAGGAGAAAAGGCUACGCCUUUGGUGGGCGCUCUUCGAGGGCGCCCGCAGCGCGAAGGAAGAACCGACGACCUGGUAACCAGGGGGAACUGCACUUCUGCAGCGCGCGGGAUCCGCUGGCGACUGACAAAAUGGCUGCUGCACCACCGGAAGUGACGCGCGUGCAGGGCGGAGCUAGGGCCCUGAUUGGAGCACUCUCAAUUUCUGGCUUAGAAGGGGCCGGCGGUGUGACGUCAAUACUGCGGGAGGACAUUUUGGAAGAGGGUACGCUCUCUCUGGCGGAUACAGGGGGUCUUCGGCAGACAUCUUAAGUCCUGGCAGUUUCCUCCCCCACCCCCCUUUCUUUUCCCACGCUCUCUGAAAAGCCACGUGUUUGAGCUGUUCGGUGUUUGUUUCCCUGAGACCCUCCCGGUAAACGGUAAUUGAGUCGGUUUUUCAGUCAGCUUUGAGACUCGAUAUACUAGAUACCGCCGAUUUAGAAACUGUAGCACUUGUUCGCCACUGUCUGAAAUUCUGGGCCAAAGACUGCCAAGCAUUUAGUACUUCAGUGUUAAAAAUUAUCCUCUUAAGAAUUAUCUCCAGGGGGUGGGGUGAGAAAAAAAGAAUUAUCUCCAAACUACCUAGGUGAUUUUCUAGAAUCAUCACCAUAGUGACGACUAUGCAGGUCCAGAUUAUUUAGAUGAUUAAAUUACAUGAAGAGGUAACCCAGAUUUACCCUUACUGGUCUCAGUCAGCCGUUUCCUUGUAAUGUCUGGACACUUGGCGCUCAUUUGUUGAAGCUAGAAGGUUCCAGGCUUCCCAGCCCAAUGACUCUAGCUGAAGAAACUUUUUUUUUCCUGCCUGAAGGUUACAUACAUAUCUUUGAGGCUUUAAACGUUUAUGGGACCACAGGUGAGGAGCAAGCAGGUGGUAGUGGGCUCAGAAACCAGACAGUGAUUAUGUUUCCAUCAUAUGUUAUGGAAACUGAGUGAAAAUGGAGAGCAUCCUUCUCCCAAGAGGUUCAGAUACAGGUUUGUACUGGGUGUGGCUUCAUGACCUUUAUACUAUUUUCAAAAGAAAAUGCUAAAGAUAUUUUUGAAUAAAGUCUUGAGAAUACACAUAAAA